This 1227-nucleotide long non-coding RNA is filed under the name Gallus gallus (chicken). Its description in RNAcentral is "long non-coding RNA NONGGAT002909". The record is from RNAcentral. Lineage: Eukaryota; Metazoa; Chordata; Aves; Galliformes; Phasianidae.
CAACAGGCUGCUCCAAAAGUGACUGAAUCACUGGCAUGCACUGCAUCCAGAGGACCAAGAGUGCCAACAGGUGAACGGUUAUGAAACAGGUCAGCUUCAGCAGUCUUCUUAAACUAAAGAAAGCCUGCUGGGAGGUGAAGACAUGGAAAUAAAGCCACAUAUUUAGGGAUCCAGCAGGACUCCCAGUGAGGUGCUGAAAGAGCAAGUGCAGCUGACAGAGCUGAAGCCGGACCUCCAAGAAGCAAACGGUGCACCGAGACCUGAAUGUCCCAUAACAACUGGGAGCAGCAGGUGGACCCUGAAGGAAGUUUGACAGAAAUCUGAUUCUUAACCUCCUACAGCUGCAUGGACUUUGAGUAAAAGCCACAGAUGAUCGGAGCUGAUAAUCGUUGGCAGCGUCCAGAAAAAGGUACGUCCACUUCUUGACAGUCGUUUUAAGGUAGAUGUUAGCAGAUAUGCGACUGAAGGCACACUGUUAAUCAUUAAAGGCACUUUUAUAUCUCGUUACAUUUUUACUCAGUGCCACUUACAGAUUUUAACCCUUUUGAAACGUUUCCUUCUAAGUCCACCUUUUCACUUCCCAUAACCCGCGCACCAUUUUUAGUAUCACCAUAAAGCCCCGGGAUCCCAAUCUGUGCCAUCAGCUUUCUGUUCAGAAGCACCCAUUUGCCUGGCAGAGCAGCGUGCCCUCGCCUGGCCUCAUUUUGUUAAUUGGGAUUCCGCAACACAGGGCUGUGUUGCAGGCGCUGCUGGGGUACAGCCCUGCUGAGCAGCUCUGGGGGCAGCUGGAAGGAGCCAACACACCUCACCAAUGUGCCACGCUGAGACAAGCCAGCAGAAAAGCAACCACGUCAUUACAAAUCGUUCCAUAGAAAUGUAAUACAGACUCUGAGAAAACGUUGUAGGGUGUUGAAACAGAUAUUCUUCUUUUACCUCUAAGUCUAAAGGGGAAAAUGAAAAAAAGAAAGAACACCGAUAGAAGCGGUGGGGUGACAGGAACUGAGCGUUCUCCUGGCCCGGUGUUAUGUAAAACAUUAAACGUUCUGUAAGCGGGCUGACCGCGUUAGCAACGCUACCUAAAAAAACAGUAGGGCCGCGGUUCGGUCAGUGCGGAGCAAUUCCCGGCAGCAAACAAGAGCUGGCACACAGCAGGCUGCUCGGCGGCCCUGCCUGGAACAGCCAGCGGGCGCUGCGCGGGGGGCUCCGGACGCGGUCCGGGAGGGUCGG